GGGUGCGGAUAGCUGUAGAGUGUGCUCUAGCUCAUGAGGGACCUUGCUCCUGGCUUCAGCGGCGGACGGGUGAGUAAUGCCUAGGAAUCUGCCUGGUAGUGGGGGAUAACGUCCGGAAACGGGCGCUAAUACCGCAUACGUCCUGAGGGAGAAAGUGGGGGAUCUUCGGACCUCACGCUAUCAGAUGAGCCUAGGUCGGAUUAGCUAGUUGGUGGGGUAAAGGCCUACCAAGGCGACGAUCCGUAACUGGUCUGAGAGGAUGAUCAGUCACACUGGAACUGAGACACGGUCCAGACUCCUACGGGAGGCAGCAGUGGGGAAUAUUGGACAAUGGGCGAAAGCCUGAUCCAGCCAUGCCGCGUGUGUGAAGAAGGUCUUCGGAUUGUAAAGCACUUUAAGUUGGGAGGAAGGGCAGUAAGUUAAUACCUUGCUGUUUUGACGUUACCAACAGAAUAAGCACCGGCUAACUUCGUGCCAGCAGCCGCGGUAAUACGAAGGGUGCAAGCGUUAAUCGGAAUUACUGGGCGUAAAGCGCGCGUAGGUGGUUCAGCAAGUUGGAUGUGAAAUCCCCGGGCUCAACCUGGGAACUGCAUCCAAAACUACUGAGCUAGAGUACGGUAGAGGGUGGUGGAAUUUCCUGUGUAGCGGUGAAAUGCGUAGAUAUAGGAAGGAACACCAGUGGCGAAGGCGACCACCUGGACUGAUACUGACACUGAGGUGCGAAAGCGUGGGGAGCAAACAGGAUUAGAUACCCUGGUAGUCCACGCCGUAAACGAUGUCGACUAGCCGUUGGGAUCCUUGAGAUCUUAGUGGCGCAGCUAACGCGAUAAGUCGACCGCCUGGGGAGUACGGCCGCAAGGUUAAAACUCAAAUGAAUUGACGGGGGCCCGCACAAGCGGGGGAGCAUGUGGUUUAAUUCGAAGCAACGCGAAAAACCUUACCUGGCCUUGACAUGCUGAGAACUUUCCAGAGAUGGAUUGGUGCCUUCGGGAACUCAAACACAGGUGCUGCAUGGCUGUCUUCACCUCUGGCCUUGAAAUGUUGGGUUAAGUCCCGUAACGAGCGCCACCCUUGUCCUUAGUUACCAGCACCUCGGGGGGGGCCCUUUAAGGAAACUGCCGGUGAAAAACCGGAAGAAGGGGGGGAAUAACUCAAAUUAUUAUGGCCCUUACGGCCGGGGUUACCCCCGUGCUAAAAUGGGCCGUACAAAAG
Molecule: ribosomal RNA, 1212 nt
Filed under: Pseudomonas aeruginosa
Lineage: Bacteria; Pseudomonadati; Pseudomonadota; Gammaproteobacteria; Pseudomonadales; Pseudomonadaceae
Description: bacterial SSU rRNA
Rfam family: Bacterial small subunit ribosomal RNA
Source: RNAcentral